Molecule: ribosomal RNA, 492 nt
Filed under: uncultured bacterium
Lineage: Bacteria
Description: partial 16S ribosomal RNA
Rfam family: Bacterial small subunit ribosomal RNA
Source: RNAcentral
AGUGAACGCUGGCGGUAGGCCUAACACAUGCAAGUCGAACGGCAGCACAGUAAGAGCUUGCUCUUACGGGUGGCGAGUGGCGGACGGGUGAGGAAUACAUCGUAAUCUACUUUUUCGUGGGGGAUAACGUAGGGAAACUUACGCUAAUACCGCAUACGACCUACGGGUGAAAGCAAGGGAUCUUCGGACCUUGCGCGAUUGAAUGAGCCGAUGUCGGAUUAGCUAGUUGGCGGGGUAAAGGCCCACCAAGGCGACGAUCCGUAGCUGGUCUGAGAGGAUGAUCAGCCACACGGGAACUGAGACACGGUCCAGACUCCUACGGGAGGCAGCAGUGGGGAAUAUUGGACAAUGGGCGCAAGCCUGAUCCAGCCAUACCGCGUGGGUGAAGAAGGCCUUCGGGUUGUAAAGCCCUUUUGUUGGGAAAGAAAAGCAGCAGGUUAAUACCCCGCUGUUCUGACGGUACCCAAAGAAUAAGCACCGGCUAACUUCGUG